AAGUCGUAACAAGGUAGCCGUAUCGGAAGGUGCGGCUGGAUCACCUCCUUUCUAAGGAGACAUGGUUUCUCGCUAGAGAAAUCAUAUCCUAAGGUCGAUGCUUUGAAGGACGUCAUGGAAGCAAUGAAGUGAAACGAUUCAAAGUUGGAGAAGUCUUAAGAGACUUCUGAAAGCCGAAGAGGCAAAACGGAGCAAUCCGUAAAGUAUGAGAAAUGAAGCUGUUGAAGUUAAAAGCUAACUUGUUGUUUAGUUUUGAGGGACCAUAAAGUCUUCUAUGGGCUUAUAGCUCAGCUGGUUAGAGCGCACGCCUGAUAAGCGUGAGGUCGGUGGUUCGAGUCCACCUAGGCCCACCAUAAAAGAUUGAUAUUGUGGGGGUAUAGCUCAGCUGGGAGAGCACCUGCCUUGCAAGCAGGGGGUCAGCGGUUCGACCCCGCUUACCUCCACCAUAAUAUAUCUGGUUUCUCUAAUGUUUAUUAUGUUCUUUGAAAACUGCACAGAGAAGAAGAAAACUGUAAUUAGGAUAACAUCUAAAACCUAGAAGUGGCGGCAAAAAACGUUUGGUCAAGCUACUAAGGGCGUACGGUGGAUGCCUAGGCGCUAAGAGUCGAAGAAGGACGCGGCGAGCGGCGAAACGCCACGGGGAGCAGUAAGCAUGCCUUGAUCCGUGGAUAUCCGAAUGGGGCAACCCA
This 689-nucleotide unclassified non-coding RNA is filed under the name Desulfitobacterium sp. PCE1. Its description in RNAcentral is "partial contains 16S ribosomal RNA, 16S-23S ribosomal RNA intergenic spacer, and 23S ribosomal RNA". The stretch from base 560 to 689 matches the Rfam family "Bacterial large subunit ribosomal RNA", at positions 1 to 130 of the family's 2925-position model. Lineage: Bacteria; Bacillati; Bacillota; Clostridia; Eubacteriales; Desulfitobacteriaceae. The record is from RNAcentral.